UUGACGAUGCAUAUCAUUUGAUCUUAGGAUGUCAUAUUCCCAUUUCAAGAUGCACAAUAAAGAGAAUCGCAUUAAGUAUACUUGACAAUUAUUCCAGAAGGAAAUGAUGCUAACAGAGUAAAUAGAUUAUAAAGAUAUGCCAGAUAGCGAUUCGUGAGCAACAAAACAAGAUGAGGUCGAGAUCAAGAAAGUAGCAAUAUAUACCUGGAGCAGCGAGAGACGACGGAGUUUGCGAUGGGGGAGAGCUGGGGAAUGGGGGCGGGGUCGUCCUCCGCGACCUUCCUCCGCCCGCUGCCGCCGCUGAAGAGGGAUUUGAGGGAGAUAUCCCGCAUAAAGCUCUCCAGUAUCCCUCUCCCGCUUCCGCUCGCCAUGUCCCCAAUCCCCGCGCCGGUCGUUUCAGAGAUCGGCGACUCUUGACUCCGGCGCCGCGCGUCUCAGGCCCACACAAGCGCCAUAUUCCUCUCCUCCAUGAGCCCUGCAGUGUAAUAAUACACGUGGGCCGACGCAAAAUCCUAGCGUCAGAGUCACGUCGGUUGGUUUAUUUGUUAAGUUUUUUUUUU
This 560-nucleotide long non-coding RNA is filed under the name Phoenix dactylifera (date palm). Its description in RNAcentral is "long non-coding RNA (PDAC_LNC019307)". The record is from RNAcentral. Lineage: Eukaryota; Viridiplantae; Streptophyta; Magnoliopsida; Arecales; Arecaceae.